RNAcentral lists this ribosomal RNA (253 nucleotides) under uncultured bacterium. RNAcentral describes it as "partial 16S ribosomal RNA". It matches the Rfam family "Bacterial small subunit ribosomal RNA", at positions 524 to 776 of the family's 1533-position model. The record is from RNAcentral.
UACAGAGGCCUCGAGCGUUGUUCGGAAUUACUGGGCGUAAAGGGAAUGUAGGUGGUGACGUAAGUCAGAUGUGAAAGCCCUGGGCUUAACCUGGGAAGUGCAUUUGAUACUGCGUUGCUUGAGUGCGAGAGAGGAAAGCGGAAUUCCAGGUGUAGGGGUGAAAUCCGUAGAUAUCUGGAGGAAUACCGAUGGCGAAGGCAGCUUUCUGGCUCGUAACUGACACUGAGAUUCGAAAGCGUGGGUAGCAAACAGG